UAUUCUUUUUAUCGAUGAAUAUCUUUCAUUUAAAAUCACGAAUUGUUUAACAACAUUUUGAUAAUUUGAUUUUUUUUUUUUAUUUAAUAUUUUUUUUAUUCCUAGAUGUAAAUUAUUUUUUAAUUACUAAUCCAAUAAUUGAGUUUGUUACAGGUAUGAAUUGAAGAAAAUAAACAAGAAAAAAUAGAUACGAAAUAAUGUGUGAUUCUCAUUUGCUAUAAAUUAAUUACCUUUAUUAUUGUUGUUAUUUCACUAAUUCUGUUGUUCACUAAUUCUGUUCAUAAUCUGUUUCAGGAAUUUUCUUCAGCUUUCAAUGGAUUUCUUGUUACAGGAACAGAAGAUUGUAUGAUACUGAUUAAAGAAAACGUAUUUAGAAUUAAGUGCAUGCACGAUCAAGGGUUUAUUAAAUAAAGUAGUGUAUUGUAGAAAAGUAGACACUGUAGAUGGGUAAAAUGGUGUAACGCUUUUUGGGAUGCUUAUUUUGCUUAUUUUUUUUCUUUUUUUUUUUUGCGCACGCUUUUUACUAUCGAUCAUUUUUCAUUUUCCUACCGAUGGAAAUGUAAAAUAUUGAUAGAAAAUCUUUUAAUUUUAAUUUUAUCUUCACGUUUAGUCUUCCGCGCCGGGUUCUUUAGAAUUCCUUUUGCUGUUUGUUUUGCACAACGAUCGAAGGAUCUGAACGUUUUGCAAAUUUAUAUCAAAAGGAAGAUUUAUUUAUUAUUGAUUUUAAAUAAAUUUUUGCGUAAAGGAGGGUGGAUGGGAUCGUGGAUAGGGUGGGUCUCCAAUUCGCAGCAACCUCCACGCGGUGAGACCUGGAAAAUCAUUAUUAUUUACUAUAUUCUUCAUAAUCGUAUCCUUGAUACAAUUAUAAAUUUUAUAGCAAAUAAGAUGAGCUAAUUGGCUGCGCACGCGAUUUCAAUGAUUAUUUUUUUUAUUUUGUAGUUAGAUUAUUAGUUAAGAUUUAUUGAAAUAAUAGUGAUCAAAAGUUUGAACGUUUUGUAAACAUACAAUGAAAGGAAAAUUUAUUUGUGAAUAAAAUAAUUUGUGAAAAUUAUAAA
Apis cerana (Asiatic honeybee) is the source of this 1055-nucleotide long non-coding RNA. RefSeq lists it as uncharacterized. Lineage: Eukaryota; Metazoa; Arthropoda; Insecta; Hymenoptera; Apidae. The record is from RefSeq and is a predicted model, not a curated record.